Molecule: unclassified non-coding RNA, 84 nt
Filed under: Algibacter pectinivorans
Lineage: Bacteria; Pseudomonadati; Bacteroidota; Flavobacteriia; Flavobacteriales; Flavobacteriaceae
Description: Flavo-1 RNA
Source: RNAcentral
AGUAAGCGCGUUAGGGAUAGUAACGAAUAGCCCACAGCCUGACGUAGGAAGUGCGAGGACUUGCAGUGAAUAGCCCGACCGCUU